CAGCCGUAAACUAUGCUCGCUAGGUGUCAGGCAUGGCGCGACCGUGUCUGGUGCCGCAGGGAAGCCGUGAAGCGAGCCACCUGGGAAGUACGGCCGCAAGGCUGAAACUUAAAGGAAUUGGCGGGGGAGCACAACAACGGGUGGAGCCUGCGGUUUAAUUGGACUCAACGCCGGGAAGCUCACCGGAUAAGGCAGCGGAAUGAUUGCCGGGCUGAAGACUCUGCAUGACUAGCUGAGAGGUGGUGCAUGGCGUAGACGUCU
Molecule: ribosomal RNA, 261 nt
Filed under: uncultured archaeon
Lineage: Archaea
Description: partial 16S ribosomal RNA
Rfam family: Archaeal small subunit ribosomal RNA
Source: RNAcentral